AUACACAAUGGAAUACUACUCAGCCAUCAAAAGAACAAAAUAAUGCCAUUUGCAAGAACAUGGAUGGAACUAGAGACUCUCAGACUGAGGGAAGUAAAUCAGAAAGAGAAAGACAAAUACCGUAUGAUAUCACUUGGAAUCUAAUAUACGGCACAAAUGAACCUUUCCACAGAAAACAAAAUCAUGGACUUGGCAAAUAGACCUUGUGGUUGCCAAGGGGGAGGGGGAGGGAGUGGGGUGGAUUGGGAGCUUGGGGUUAAUAGAUGCAAACUAUUACCUUUGGAAUGGACUAGCAAUGAGAUCCUGCUGUGUAGCACUGGGAACUAUGUCUAGUCACUUAUGAUGGAGCAUGAUAAUGUGAGAAAAUAGAAUGUAUACAUGUAUGUGUAACUGGGUCACCAUGCUGUACAGUAGAAAAAAAUUGGGGAAAUAACAAUUAAAGAAAAAACAAAAAACAGCAGAGAAAUGGCUUUUCACCUUGUUUUUCUAGAGCCUUGCAUCUAUUACACACUCAAUGAAUAUUUAAAUGGAUGAAGAAAACUUUCUUUGAAGAUCUCUCAUGCCACACUCUUCUAAUUCAACUCCCCAUGCCACUCUGUUCUAAAUCUUUUCAAAAACUCUGUAAUUUCCUUAUUUUUCUUCUUAGGCUCUUUUUUCUCUUUCUCCUCUCCAUCAAGUCUUUAGGAUUUUCUGUGUUUGAAGACUUAUACUUUGUAGUUCAGUGAUCCCUUGAAUUUUCAGAACUUCAACCAUUUCUGUAUUGAUUUUAAAAUGUUUAUUUUCAGCAAGAUGCUAGUGUUUUCUUUUAAAAAUUCAUUCCAUUGACAUUCAGUUCCUUGUCCUUAAGAUCUUGAAUAUUAUUAAGAGAGGAAAAAUACAGAAAUAGUAGGCAUAAAAAUCAAAGUCAGUGUGUAUUUUCAAGGAAUCUUCAAUAGCUGUAUGUGAGAUAACUGUCAAAUAUCUUUGAGUCAGACUUACUAAGUCCUUCAUAAGUAUUAGUCAUUUAACCUUCAUGACACUCCUAUGAAGUAGGGAACUGUAUUACUUCCAUUUUACAGAUGGGUCAAAUGAGGCUUAGAGGAAUUGGGAAUUUUCUCUCAGCCACCAAUCACUUCUGAAGCCUGAAUGCUAACUCACAUAUGUCUGAUUAAUCAUUCAACCAGUAGACCAGAAGGACAAAUAGAAAAUGGCUUAAACAUUAAGCAUUUUAUGAAAAUUCUGUGCCUCUUCAGUUCAUCAUUCUAUAGCUGUCUUUCAGAUGAAGGCAGGAAUGUACUAGGUCUUAAGUUCGUGCAGUCAUUUAGUAACUUAGAUUUGUUUCUAGCCUUUAAAUAUCUUGUCUUGUCUUAUAAACAAGCAACUGUAUAUUAAAAGAAUUUUAUGUCUGAAUCAAGCUACAACACUUUGUGUUUCUUCUGUACACUGAAUCAUUUGUACCACUGUAAAGGGCAAGAUUAAGACUCAUAGUGGUUUGGAAAAUUUUGUGCUCUAUCAUUAGGGAGGUAAAAAUUGAAUUCACUAAGACUGCUAAGAGAUGUGCAUUUUGUAAAUCAAACAAUGCUAUAAUCAGGUUUCAGAUACAACAAAUAACUUCUUGCAGACAAUGUGUUUGAGAUUAAAUGUACUUCUCCUAACAUGUGACAACAGCAAUCACAUUCCAAAACUUUUGAUUUCUGAAGAAGUAGCUUUGAUCAAUUCUUUGUCCUCUCUUAAUCUGGUAAUGAAAAACAGUUGAACUCUGUAGUGAUGAAUUCUUGUGAUUGUAAAUGUCAUGGCAUAUAUGCACCCCAACGGAUUUGAGGAUGGUUGUAAAAUUCUGUGUUGUUGCAGGCAUUGUAGAGGAGGCUACUGGAGUAUUUGUGUAUUUUUUUGAAUAAAAAAUGCUGCAAACUGUGCCCAUCUUCAAGUUUAGUUCUGCCUUUCUUCAGAACAGAGUUGUACGUGGAUAUUAGGGGACAUUUGGAGAAGCUGUAUAGGACAUUUGGGAAAGCUGAGAUUCUGGAGUCAGGCUACCUGGAGUAGAGUCUUGACUCUUUGAUUUACUAGCUUGUGACCUUGGAUGAGAAAUUCACUAGCUCAGUUUCUUCACCUAUAAAAUAAAGAUGUAAGAAAUGCCUGUCUUAUACAAUAUUAGGAAUAUCAUAAUUAAAUAUUUAUAUGAAGAAAGUGAAGGGCUUCAUGUAAUAUUUGGCACUUAGUGGUGCCAAUACAUGUUAGUGCCUUGCAUUUGUACUUCCAGUACAUUGCCUCGGAUGACAUUUGAUAAUGGUGAAGAUGAUGACCAUGCUAUUCUCCAUAGAGAAAACACUAAUUUCACAUUAACCAUGCUAUGCACCAGGGCACAAAGAGAAUUGGACCCAGUUUAUGUGUCCCUGCCACCUGGAUUUGCUUAACGUCACCUGUCUUUUUAUGGCUUACACCUUUCCUAUAGUCAUCAAGGCCAUUACAGUCAUCACCUCAUUUCUGACCAACACAAUUAUCUCUGCUUCUCUUAAGAUGAGAUGAUAACUGGACUGAAGGGAACUGUUGUAGCUCAUCUCCAGUGGCUACCCGAAGAGGCUGUGAACACACUUUGGAGAUAUGGGAGUUUAUGCACUGUAGAUUGACUUUUGACCGAUCAAAGAGAGAAUAAGGGAAGAAUAAAUACACGAAUUACUUACCUUUCUCUUCUAGGUGGCAUGGUCUUGAGGUACAUGUGGCGAGUUGAGUGAUGAAUCAUCUGGUAUUUGCUUCACUUGUUUCCUAUAUCACUUCACUUUUCCAUUCUUGCUUCCUCGGGUUUAUAUUCUCCAAUAAAAUGUUAGUAGGUUAACUUUGCCUCAGGUACUGUUUUCAAGGGAUCUAGGGUCUAUAGGCAAGAAAUACCAUUUUUUUCAGAAUAAGAUGAUAAUUUAGCUUCAUAAACAUAAUUAUUUUAACAGCAACUUUAAAAUAAUAUAGUAAUGACUCUUCUAUUGCCAUGGAAACAGAAAAGAUAGAGGGAUAUAUUCUUCAAAAAGAAAGGACGGAAGGAAGGAAAUAUCAGGCAGGCUUCCCUGAGAAGGAGUUUGUUUGAAGCAUAAAUAGAGUUUUUGAAGGAUAAGUAAAGAUGGACAAGAAAGGCAGAAGGAACAAAUUAAGUGAAUGCAAAAGUAUAUAAACAAUUGCAAACUUACAUGCAAAGCAUAAGGGGAUGACUUCUAUGACCAGAGUGGAAGAUGCAUAGAGGAAUGCUAUAGAUGAGCUAGAGGUAUAUACUGAUUAAGAUUGUGAAGGCUCCUUGGUGUCAUGAUGAGAAGGAACUUUGGCAUAAUAUUCUAAGAAGAACUUUCAAAGGUUUUGAGUUAGGAGGUGAUAUAAUCAGAAGGUAAGGUAUUGGAGACAGGUAGCCUGCUUGGGUGUCUACCUGCGACAGUCCACAUGUGAUCAUUAGAACUUAAUCUAAGAAAGAGAGGGACUGUAAAGUGAAGGAUAAAUACCAGAUAUAUUGUGUACAGAAUCAAGAAGGCUUGGAAAAUUUUGCAUGUAGAAUGAGGAAGAGGAGUCAAUGUUGGUACUCAUUUGGGAACUAAACAGCAGACUGAAUAAUGAUAUCAUUUAUCAAGAUGGAGGGCAGAAAGGAAGACACAUUUUGGGGGAAGAAGCUAAUUUUAUAUUAAUCAUUUUCCAGUGAAUCUAGGUAAAAAUUCCUAGAAAGAGUUGGAAAUACAAAUCCAGACCUAAAAUAUGGUGUUACUCUACAGGUGUUGACUGCUGACAUUGACUAGUAACAGAUCCCAAGAUUUUUUAGAAAAAUCAAAUUUGAGGAGUUCAAAUUUGGGUCAGCAGAAACAAAUCUGACUAGUAUCCAUGAAGACGCAGGUUUGAUCCCUGGCCUUGCUCAGUGGGUUAAGGAUCCAGCAUUGCUGUGAGCUGUGGUAUAGGUCACAGAUGAGGCUCAGAUCUGGUGUUGCUGUGACUGUGGCAUAGGUCAGCAACUAUAUUCGACC
RNAcentral lists this long non-coding RNA (3968 nucleotides) under Sus scrofa (pig). RNAcentral's name for it is "lncRNA (ENSSSCG00000053424.1)". The record is from RNAcentral. Lineage: Eukaryota; Metazoa; Chordata; Mammalia; Artiodactyla; Suidae.